AUACGCACCUGGCAGGGGAGUCGCCACGCUCACGAAGGCGGUUUUCCCAGCGAGGCUUAUCCGCUGCACUCCGGAUGUGCCGACCCCUGCGAUUUCCCCACGUGUGGGAACUCGGCUGCGUGAUCCGUGGUGGUGGGGACUGCGGGCCUGCUCGCCCCAC
Small nuclear RNA from Eptesicus fuscus (big brown bat), 160 nucleotides. RefSeq annotates it as U1 spliceosomal RNA. The transcript has a single exon. Lineage: Eukaryota; Metazoa; Chordata; Mammalia; Chiroptera; Vespertilionidae. The record is from RefSeq and is a predicted model, not a curated record.